RNAcentral lists this ribosomal RNA (928 nucleotides) under Ophiocordyceps australis. RNAcentral's name for it is "SSU rRNA". It matches the Rfam family "Eukaryotic small subunit ribosomal RNA", at positions 121 to 1059 of the family's 1831-position model. Lineage: Eukaryota; Fungi; Ascomycota; Sordariomycetes; Hypocreales; Ophiocordycipitaceae. The record is from RNAcentral.
UUGAUAGUGCCUUACUACUUGGAUAACCGUGGUAAUUCUAGAGCUAAUACAUGCUAAAAGACCCGACUUUGGAAGGGUUGUAUUUAUUAGAUUAAAAACCAAUGCCCUCUGGGCUCACUGGUGAAUCAUGAUAACUUUACGAAUCGCAUAGCCUUGUGCUGGCGAUGGCUCAUUCAAAUUUCUUCCCUAUCAACUUUCGAUGUUUGGGUAGUGGCCAAACAUGGUUGCAACGGGUAACGGAGGGUUAGGGCUCGACCCCGGAGAAGGAGCCUGAGAAACGGCUACUACAUCCAAGGAAGGCAGCAGGCGCGCAAAUUACCCAAUCCCGAUUCGGGGAGGUAGUGACAAUAAAUACUGAUACAGGGCUCUUUUGGGUCUUGUAAUUGGAAUGAGUACAAUUUAAAUCCCUUAACGAGGAACAAUUAGAGGGCAAGUCUGGUGCCAGCAGCCGCGGUAAUUCCAGCUCUAAUAGCGUAUAUUAAAGUUGUUGUGGUUAAAAAGCUCGUAGUUGAACCUUGGGCCUGGCUGGCGGGUCCGCCUCACCGCGUGUACUUCGCCGGCCGGGCCUUUCCCUCUGUGGAACCCUAUGCCCUUCACUGGGUGUGGUGGGGAAACAGGACUUUUACUUUGAAAAAAUUAGAGUGCUCCAGGCAGGCCUAUGCUCGAAUAUAUUAGCAUGGAAUAAUAAAAUAGGACGUGUGGUUCUAUUUUGUUGGUUUCUAGGACCGCCGUAAUGAUUAAUAGGGACAGCCGGGGGCAUCAGUAUUCAAUUGUCAGAGGUGAAAUUCUUGGAUUUAUUGAAGACUAACUACUGCGAAAGCAUUUGCCAAGAAUGUUUUCAUUAAUCAGGAACGAAAGUUAGGGGAUCGAAGACGAUCAGAUACCGUCGUAGUCUUAACCAUAAACUAUGCCGACUAGGGAUCGGACG